Long non-coding RNA from Sinocyclocheilus anshuiensis, 382 nucleotides. RefSeq lists it as uncharacterized. The transcript has 3 exons. NCBI's taxonomy places the organism in Eukaryota, Metazoa, Chordata, Actinopteri, Cypriniformes, Cyprinidae. The record is from RefSeq and is a predicted model, not a curated record.
GUCGAAUGCAUGCGGAACUACAGACUGAGAUCAUCAGUCUCCUCCUGUAAUAGAGUUAACGCUUGGCGUGUUAGGACGCAUAUUCGCUUUGUUUUUAAUGAGAGCUCUUGAGUGAACAGUAAUUACACUCGUGUGGGAUUAUAAAUAUAAUGUCAAGAUGAAGCAAGCUGUCUUACUGUUUCUCAUAACACUGUCUGCCUGUGUGCACACGGCGUUAGCGGAAGUGACUAUCAAAGCUCCAGCAACAGUGAAUCUACCGGAACAAUCUUCAGAAAACAUCACCAUUACACUGAGUUCACCAUUGAACACGUCUGUAACGGUUUAUUUCAAUAUCACGUAUAAAUCAAAAAAUGUCUCUUCAAUAAUUCUACUGCCUGAUGAG